CUACGGGGGGCAGCAGUGAGGAAUAUUGCACAAUGGGGGGAACCCUGAUGCAGCAACGCCGCGUGGAGGAUGACGCAUUUCGGUGUGUAAACUCCUUUUAUAUGUCAAGAAAAUGACGGUAGCAUAUGAAUAAGCGCCGGCUAACUCCGUGCCAGCAGCCGCGGUAAUACGGAGGGCGCAAGCGUUACUCGGAAUCACUGGGCGUAAAGGACGCGUAGGCGGGUUGAAAAGUCAGGUGUGAAAGCCUACAGCUUAACUGUAGAACUGCACUGGAAACUCUCAAUCUAGAGUAUGGGAGGGGCAGAUGGAAUUAGUGGUGUAGGGGUAAAAUCCGUAGAUAUCACUAGGAAUACCUAAAGCGAAGGCGAUCUGCUGGAACAUUACUGACGCUAAGGCGUGAAAGCGUGGGGAGCAAACAGGAUUAGAUACCCCAGUAGUC
This 439-nucleotide ribosomal RNA is filed under the name uncultured bacterium. RNAcentral describes it as "partial 16S ribosomal RNA". It matches the Rfam family "Bacterial small subunit ribosomal RNA", at positions 339 to 795 of the family's 1533-position model. The record is from RNAcentral.